This 87-nucleotide transfer RNA is filed under the name Escherichia coli. RNAcentral describes it as "tRNA-Leu". It matches the Rfam family "tRNA". From Rfam's summary of the family: Transfer RNA (tRNA) molecules are approximately 80 nucleotides in length. Their secondary structure includes four short double-helical elements and three loops (D, anti-codon, and T loops). Further hydrogen bonds mediate the characteristic L-shaped molecular structure. tRNAs have two regions of fundamental functional importance: the anti-codon, which is responsible for specific mRNA codon recognition, and the 3' end, to which the tRNAs corresponding amino acid is attached (by aminoacyl-tRNA synthetases). tRNAs cope with the degeneracy of the genetic code in two manners: having more than one tRNA (with a specific anti-codon) for a particular amino acid; and 'wobble' base-pairing, i.e. permitting non-standard base-pairing at the 3rd anti-codon position. RNAcentral also lists the same sequence under 3 other names. Lineage: Bacteria; Pseudomonadati; Pseudomonadota; Gammaproteobacteria; Enterobacterales; Enterobacteriaceae. The record is from RNAcentral.
GCGAAGGUGGCGGAAUUGGUAGACGCGCUAGCUUCAGGUGUUAGUGUCCUUACGGUCGUGGGGGUUCAAGUCCCCCCCCUCGCACCA